Molecule: ribosomal RNA, 253 nt
Filed under: uncultured bacterium
Lineage: Bacteria
Description: partial 16S ribosomal RNA
Rfam family: Bacterial small subunit ribosomal RNA
Source: RNAcentral
UACGUAGGGUGCGAGCGUUAAUCGGAAUUACUGGGCGUAAAGUGUGCGCAGGCGGCCGCGCAAGUCGAGUGUGAAAGCCCCGAGCCUAACUUGGGAAUUGCGCUCGAAACUACGUGGCUGGAGUGUGGCAGAGGAAGGUGGAAUUCCACGUGUAGCGGUGAAAUGCGUAGAGAUGUGGAGGAACACCAAUGGCGAAGGCAGCCUUCUGGGCCAACACUGACGCUCAUGCACGAAAGCGUGGGGAGCAAACAGG